UAUUUAUUCUUUUCCUCAAAUAUAAUAACCGCCCAUAAAUAUAGUGUGACAGUUAUGAUUGCACUUAAGAUAUUUUUGUGAUGGACAAAAUUAUAAAUAGAGUGCAACCCUUGUUUUGGUUUUCUAAGUCUCAUAUCUCUAUUUAGUGACUUACACCAUUUAGUGACUUACACCAUCUAAGGGAGAUUGUAGAAGGUUUAGAAGAGCCUCAACAACCUAUCAACAACCUCAAGCAAGAUCAAUCCUCAACAGGAACAAGCUAUAGCAAUGGCGGGAGGUAUCUCUGCUAUUUAAAUUCAAUUUUGUUUCCGCUGUUUUAAGAUAGAAUUUCGUUUAUGAAUUUGUAGAAAUUCUAACAGAAAUAAGAAAAGAAAGUAGAUCAUAACAUAAAUAAACUUCAUAAGUCUAGCAAUAUAUAUUUCCCUUUGCAUAUAACAAAUAGAAUAUGAUUUGAUAACUUUAUAACACACUUAUAGAAUUGUAAAGAGAGUCGUCAUUGAUUGUUUAAAUUUGUUUUUUAUAUAGAAUUGUAGGGAUACAAUUACACCGAUUAGCAGGAGUACACUUCACUUCCCAACCAGACCUACACUUAAUAUGUAUACAGUCACCGUCAUUAUGACAUUCAACUAUAAUGAAAAUUAUAACACAAGAAUGUUAUUAUUAAUUAAAGGGGGAUAUAUGUUAGAAGCAAAUAAGAACAUUUUAGAAGAAUGAAAAAUGGCUUACGGUGGUAAGGGUAAGCGUUUGUUGCAACAUGAAAUAAGGAAAGAAAAGUAGAUCAUAACAUAAAUAAACUUCAUAAGUUCAGCAAUAUAUUUUCCGCUUUGCAUAUAACAAAUAGAAUAUGUUUUGAUAACUUUAUAAUAAUGUAUAAAGCUCAAGCUUUCUUUACACAAGUUACAUAGUUUUUAACAUUUAUAUAUGUUAGAAGUAAACAAUAACAUUUAGAACUAAUAUAAAAUAUCUCUUAACUACAUUGAAGUGU
RNAcentral lists this long non-coding RNA (985 nucleotides) under Trifolium pratense (red clover). Its description in RNAcentral is "long non-coding RNA (TPRA_LNC000627)". The record is from RNAcentral. Lineage: Eukaryota; Viridiplantae; Streptophyta; Magnoliopsida; Fabales; Fabaceae.